GUUAUUUAGCCUCUGAAGAAAUAACCAUAGUGUCAAUAUGAUAUUUGUGGUGGAGAUUUCCCACUCUCUACAUUUAUAUUAGAGUCCUACAAAUACAAUUGCUUUUAGAUGCUAGACAACAUAUGCUAGGUUUACGGCAGUCUAGUAAUUUCAUCUGUUCUUUUCCAUUUUGAAUGGCAGAUGUGGCUUCUACACACCCCACGUGCUCCUUUGCUACCCCAGCUGAUGCUUCCUGUCAUAUUUCAGAAGCACCACAGUGCAGGAAGGGACAAGAAAACCACCAGCCCUAUUAAACGGUGCUCGGUUUAUCCCGGCACAAGCCAGAGCAGGAGGAACACUCCGGCUUCCAGCAAUCUGCAAAGAAGUUCUCUGCUAGGUCAUGCCUCGCCCCUCCUGCCGCAAGCCCGAUGGAGCCUGAGAGCAUUUCUCCAGCCAAUGCACGCCCGGCUGCAACGAUGCAAAAAGCCCAGGGAAAAGGAGGAUGCCUGUGUUUUCAUCAUGAGACGACCUGUUUUGGAUUUUGGAAAUGUGGGGAGAAGAGUUAAUGCAGAGAAAGAAGAGACCAGACAGGAGAAACAGGAAGCCCGAAGAUACCCUGAGGUUUGGUAAGACACCAAAGAGUGAAUUAAAAUUAAAGCUGUAAGAACAUGCUUCCGGCCUGCCUCCUGCUGGUGCUCCAUUGAAAGCCAGCCCCCCC
RNAcentral lists this long non-coding RNA (697 nucleotides) under Felis catus (domestic cat). Its description in RNAcentral is "lncRNA (ENSFCAG00000042850.2)". The record is from RNAcentral. Lineage: Eukaryota; Metazoa; Chordata; Mammalia; Carnivora; Felidae.